ACGGGGUGCAGCAGGCGCGAAAACUUCGCAAUGUGGGAAACCACGACGAGGGGAAUCCAAGUGCUUGCACAAUGUGUAGGCUGUUUCUAUGCCUAAAAAGCAUGGAGAGUAAGGGCUGGGUAAGACGGGUGCCAGCCGCCGCGGUAAUACCCGCAGCCCGAGUGGUGGUCGUUAUUAUUGGGCCUAAAACGUCCGUAGCCGGCCCGGUAAAUUCGUGGGGAAAUCGGUCAGCUUAACUGACCGAAGUCCGCGGAGACUGCCGGGCUUGGGACUGGGUGAGGUCAGAGGUACUUCAGGGGUAGGGGUAAAAUCCUGUAAUCCUUGAAGGACCACCAGUGGCGAAGGCGUCUGACUAGAACGGAUCCGACGGUAAGGGACGAAGCCCUGGGGCACAAACGGGAUUAGAUACCCCGGUAGUCCAGGGUGUAAACGCUGUGGGCUUGGUGUUGGGAGUCCCACGAGGGCGCCCAGUGCCGGAGAGAAGUUGUUAAGCCUACUGCCUGGGAGUAUG
RNAcentral lists this ribosomal RNA (511 nucleotides) under uncultured archaeon. RNAcentral's name for it is "bacterial SSU rRNA". It matches the Rfam family "Archaeal small subunit ribosomal RNA", at positions 325 to 839 of the family's 1478-position model. The record is from RNAcentral.